GACGACGCUGGCGGCGUGGAUUAGGCAUGCAAGUCGAACGGUAUCAUCCUUUCGGGGGUGAGAGAGUGGCGAACUGGUGAGUAACACGUAGGUUAUCUACCCUCAAGACGGGGACAACCCAGGGAAAACUUGGGCUAAUACCGGAUGUGAGCAACUUUUAGUUGUUUGAAAGGUGGCGUAAGCUGUCGCUUGGGGAUGAGCCUGCGUCCUAUUAGUUAGUUGGUGAGGUAACGGCUCACCUAGGCAAUGAUAGGUAGGCGGCCUUAACGGGUGGUCGCCCACACUGGGAUUGAGAUACGGCCCAGACUCCUACGGGAGGCAGCAGUCGAGAAUAGUCUACAAUGGUCGGAAGACUGAUAGCGCGACGCCGCGUGAACGAUGAAUCCCUUCGGGGUGUAAAGUUCUUUUAUAUGUGAGCAGUGCUUCUUAUAUUAACAGUAUGGGGAGAGAGAUAUUAGCAUAUGAAUAAGCAACGGCUAACUCCGUG
This 487-nucleotide ribosomal RNA is filed under the name uncultured bacterium. RNAcentral's name for it is "bacterial SSU rRNA". It matches the Rfam family "Bacterial small subunit ribosomal RNA", at positions 33 to 507 of the family's 1533-position model. The record is from RNAcentral.